CCUACGGGAGGCAGCAGUGGGGAAUAUUGCACAAUGGGGGGAACCCUGAUGCAGCGACGCCGCGUGAGUGAAGAAGGAUCUCGGGACGUAAAGCUCUAUCAGCAGGGAAGAAAAUGACGGUACCUGACUAAGAAGCCCCGGCUAACUACGUGCCAGCAGCCGCGGUAAUACGUAGGGGGCAAGCGUUAUCCGGAUUUACUGGGUGUAAAGGGAGCGGAGACGGCACUGCAAGUCCGGAGUGAAAGCCCAAGGCUUAACCAUGGGACUGCUCUGGAAACUGUGGAGCUUGAUUGCGGGAGGGGCAGGCGGACUUCCUAGUGUAGCUGUGAAAUGCGUAGAUAUUCGGUGGAACCCCGGCGGCGACGGCGGCCUGCUGGACCGUACCUGACGUUGAGGCUCG
Molecule: ribosomal RNA, 400 nt
Filed under: uncultured bacterium
Lineage: Bacteria
Description: partial 16S ribosomal RNA
Rfam family: Bacterial small subunit ribosomal RNA
Source: RNAcentral